RNAcentral lists this ribosomal RNA (428 nucleotides) under uncultured Lactobacillus sp. RNAcentral describes it as "bacterial SSU rRNA". It matches the Rfam family "Bacterial small subunit ribosomal RNA", at positions 28 to 431 of the family's 1533-position model. The record is from RNAcentral. Lineage: Bacteria; Bacillati; Bacillota; Bacilli; Lactobacillales; Lactobacillaceae.
GACGAACGCUGGCGGCGUGCCUAAUACAUGCAAGUCGAGCGAGCGGAACUAACAGAUUUACUUCGGUAAUGACGUUAGGACAGCGAGCGGCGGAUGGGUGAGUAACACGUGGGGAACCUGCCCCAUAGUCUGGGAUACCACUUGGAAACAGAUGCUAAUACCGGAUAACAACACUAGACGCAUGUCUAGAGUUUGAAAGAUGGUUCUGCUAUCACUCUUGGAUGGACCUGCGGUGCAUUAGCUAGUUAGUAAGGUAACGGCUUACCAAGGCAAUGAUGCAUAGCCGAGUUGAGAGGCUGAUCGGCCACAUUGGGACUGAGACACGGCCCAAACUCCUACGGGAGGCAGCAGUAGGGAAUCUUCCACAAUGGACGCAAGUCUGAUGGAGCAACGCCGCGUGAGUGAAGAAGGUCUUCGGAUCGUAAAAC